Molecule: non-coding RNA, 75 nt
Organism: Rhododendron griersonianum
Lineage: Eukaryota; Viridiplantae; Streptophyta; Magnoliopsida; Ericales; Ericaceae
Source: the annotation of a GenBank genome assembly
UAGGGGUAGCUCAUAUGGUAGAGUGCUAACUUCACAAGCGAGAGGCACGGGGUUCGAUUCCCCGGACCUCCAAAU